ACACUAUCAGUGAUUUGUUAAGAAUUCAAGACACACUUAACCAGUAUGACUACCACAGCAUUCUGCAGUGAUACGCCAUCCCAUCUGGUUUGGGCUUAGUGGGACACACCCUUGCGGGGCCCCUGUGUUGAGGAUCAGCGUAGUGGAGGUGUUGUUGCCUACCUUCACCACCUGGGGGUGACCCGACAGGAAGUCCAGGACCCAGUUGCAUAGGGUGGGGUUCAGAACCAGGGUCCUGAGCUUAAUGAUGAGCUUGGAGGGACUAUGGUGUUUGAAGGCUGAGCUGUAGUCAAUGAACAGCAUUCUUACAUAGGUAUUCCUCUUGUCCAGAUAGGAUAGGAUAGGUAAUGGUGAUUGCAUCAUCUGUGGAUCUAUUGGGGCGGUAUGAAAAUUGUAGUGGGUCUAGGGAGUCGGGUAAGGAGCUACACACAUACUAAGGUUCAAAGGGUAAAAGUUCAGGGGGUAAAGGUUUAGAGGGUAAAGGUUUAGAGGGUAAAGGAUCAGAGGGUAAAGGAUCAGAGGGUAAAGGAUCAGAGGGUAAAGGAUCAGAGGGUAAAGGUUCACAGGGUAAAGGAUCAGAGGGUAAAGGUUCACAGGGUAAAGUUAAAAUGGAAGGACAGGGAAGGAGGUAUAGAAGCAUUGAGACAAGAAGCCAUAUAUUGAGACAAGAGGCCAUAUAUUGAGACAAGAGGCCAUAUAUUGAGACAAGGGGCCAUAUAUUGAGACAAGAGGCCAUAUAUUGAGACAAGGGG
Molecule: long non-coding RNA, 752 nt
Organism: Oncorhynchus tshawytscha (Chinook salmon)
Lineage: Eukaryota; Metazoa; Chordata; Actinopteri; Salmoniformes; Salmonidae
Source: Ensembl